Molecule: ribosomal RNA, 369 nt
Filed under: uncultured organism
Description: partial 16S ribosomal RNA
Rfam family: Bacterial small subunit ribosomal RNA
Source: RNAcentral
GGAGAGUGCGAGCGUUAAUCGGAAUUACUGGGCGUAAAGCGCACGUAGGUGGAUGUAUUAGUCGGAUGUGAAAGCCCCGGGCUUAACUCGGGAACUGCAUUCGAUACUGUGCAUCUAGAGUAUGGUAGAGGGAAGUGGAAUUUCCGGUGUAGCGGUGAAAUGCGUAGAUAUCGGAAGGAACACCAGUGGCGAAGGCGACUUCCUGGACCAAUACUGACACUGAGGAGCGAAAGCGUGGGGGAGCAAACAGGAUUAGAGACCCUGGUAGUCCACGCCGUAAACGAUGAGAACUAGGCGAUAGGAGGGCGACCCUCUUAGUGCCGCAGCUAACGCGUUAAGUUCUCCGCCUGGGAUACGGCCGCAAGGUUA